Non-coding RNA from Danionella cerebrum, 73 nucleotides. Lineage: Eukaryota; Metazoa; Chordata; Actinopteri; Cypriniformes; Danionidae. The record is from the annotation of a GenBank genome assembly.
GCUUGGCUAGCUCAGUCGGUAGAGCAUGAGACUCUUAAUCUCAGGGCUGUGGGUUUGAGCCCCAUGUUGGGCG